GGAGGAUGGAGCACUUAGUAUGGCUGAUACUAGCAAUGCUAUGGAUGGCGCAGGCCAUAGAGUGCUGCCCUGAUGUCUGCAAAUGCUCCAGGAAGUCUGGCCCAGAAAAAUCAGAUGUCAACUGUCAUAAGCGGGGGCUUCGAGCUUUUCCUUCCAAAUUGCCUUCUGAUGCUUGGAUUGUUAAACUAGGUGUGUACAUUUUAAUCAAAUCCUCUCUAGGAUCCUUUUGACAUCCAAGGAAUGCAUUAAUCUAUCUAACAUUUAAGGAAACAUAAUGGGACUUGAUUGCAUCAAUAACUGACUUUUUAAUUGCUGCCAAAAGGUGAGAAUGGUAUUACCAACCUGAAGGCAAAUACUCUGAGAUCAAUUCCAAAGAUUGAGAGCGUCAAUCUGGAGAGAAAUGCCAUAAAAUCAAUCCAUCCCCAGGCCUUCUCCGGUGCAAAGCAAUUGAUGCUUCUCAAUCUUUAUGGCAACCACAUAUCCAUUCUUCCACCAAGGGGGUUUCAGGUAAAGAUUUUUGGAGAGGAGCACACUUUUCAGCAAUAAUAUUACAGUAAUUUGACAAAAAAAACCCCCAACUGUUUUCUAUGUCUGAAGGACCUGCUAAACCUCCGCUUCCUCAUGUUGGGGCAGAACCAGAUUGGCAUCCUCAAACCUGAGAUUUUUGCAGGCAUGAGAAACCUGUCAGAGUUGGACCUUACUCUCAAUGCACUGACAGUCCUCCCAACUAAUGCGUUCAAACCUCUGAUUGCCCUUAAAGUUUUGGAUCUUUCCCUCAACCGCAUCCAGAAGAUUUCUCCCAAGACCUUCAGUGGACUGAGGCAGCUCUUGUUCCUCAACUUGGACAACAACAGUCUGAAGACCAUUCCUUCUGGGACAUUCAAGCCCCUGCAAUCUCUGGAGAUGCUGGUUCUAGACAACAACCUACUAUCUACCCUGACGUUAUCAGCUUUGGAUGGCCUGAGUAACUUGCAGGUAGCAUGUUUUUCUGGUAUACAUAAAAACAAAAGAAAAAUCAUAGACUCAGUUUCAUUUUUUUAA
Molecule: long non-coding RNA, 1041 nt
Filed under: Oreochromis niloticus (Nile tilapia)
Lineage: Eukaryota; Metazoa; Chordata; Actinopteri; Cichliformes; Cichlidae
Description: lncRNA (ENSONIG00000039075.1)
Source: RNAcentral